Long non-coding RNA from Bombus pyrosoma, 3652 nucleotides. RefSeq lists it as uncharacterized. NCBI's taxonomy places the organism in Eukaryota, Metazoa, Arthropoda, Insecta, Hymenoptera, Apidae. The record is from RefSeq and is a predicted model, not a curated record. The transcript is spliced from 3 exons.
UCAUCGUGUUCUUUUCUCCUUCUUCAAACUUUCACACUUUCAGCUUCAUUAUCCAUCGAGAUCAAUUUCCACCACUUUCCAUCUCAUCCACAUUCCACUUCCCUUCCGCCAUAAUCAGCUCUACACGGCCAUUAGACGCAUCCUCGUUGGCCAACAUCGCGGUCCCAAAAUUUCGUUUCCGGGCCUAGAGAACGUUGUUUCAUCGUCUUUGAACGCGACCACGGACCGUCUCGUACAGUCGCCGGAUGCAGAGCAUUAUUCAUGACUGAGGACAGAAUCGUCACUGAAGAGGCCAUCGAGCCUGUCGCGUGUCUUGGCCGCAUGUAAACCGGAAGAACACGCUCAGCUGGCCACUGUCCUGCAGCGUGUUCUUCGUCUGCUGCUGUUGUUGUUUCGUCGACAGGACGGAACCAUUUCAAUGCGUUUUAAAAAACACACGCGUGCUGGCGAGCGGAAUACAGAGUGUUACAAAAGGAUCUGUAACUUUAGCGACUUAUGGUAGAUAUUCAUCGAGUGAAACGAAAAAUGCUUAAUCGAGAUAACUAUUCAACUAUAUAUCCUGUAAUAUAAAUACAAUAGAUAAGAUACUAGUACCAGUAUUGAUACCAAUAUCAAUGUGUCCUUCGAUACUGAAGUUAACUGCAAUGUCAGCGAAACGCAGCCAACCUUUUUUUCUUGCACAUGACUUACACCUGAGAGCUGCAAUAUCUUACGCAGCAGUGUUAACCAUAACAAUGCUAAGUAUAACAAUGUCAAAUGCGACAAUCGGAGAUAAGAGAAGAUUAAGGUUCUCAUUCUCUAAGAUAAAUUGAAGAAUGGCAAAACGUCGAAUCUCCAAGUCAGAAUGGAACAUCUUUUUAAAGUACACCAUUAAUAGCAAUCUCGGUUAAAACGAAGACAAAGUUAUUUAUUUUCGACAAGCAUCGAUUUCGUGCACAAUUUUCACGACGCGGCCAAUAGACUUUCCUGAUGAUCAAUUUUCAGGAUCAAUUUCGUACCGUUGAAACACACACGACUAACGGCUUAGACAUCUCUUUUUCCUUCCGCAUUGUCCUUGCUUGAGACUGAAGCAAAGAGUUUAAGGGUAAAAAGGAACACUUAAAAAAAAUAAAAACGUUGAAGUUAUCACGAUUUAAGCUAGAACUUAUUUUAUAGUUACAGAUCGUGUUUUUCACUGUGUCGGUGUACUAUCGGCAUCGCGUAGAAUUCGUUAUAAAACUACCCGCAAUAAUAAUGAAUCAUGGAAAAGUUUUCCAAUCGGAAAUUUCAUUUACAUUUACGUGUCUCUAGGAAAGAUGUUCAGCCACUUAUUUGCUUUGGCGAACGAUGGUUAUAAAUCGUUUCGCACGGCAAGGAGGACAGUUCAGCGAGGGGAAAACUCGACAACAACGUGCUCUGGGACUCGAAACAGGAAUUAUGGAAGUUUGAGACGAAGAUUUUACAUUUUAAGUACGAGUCUAGUUGAAUGUUUCCACCAAAAUUCUCGGGACUCUUGGCCGAGCGAAAAGGGUCACUGAAUAAAAUUUAAUCAAACUUGUUGAGGCAACCGGCUAACGAAGUUGAGAUGCUGAUUAAGAACGACUUUUCCUUUGAAAGCGUUAACUUUUACCUUAUGGUUAAAAAUGUGUACACAGUACCCGUAGGAAGCGGGGCGACGUCUAAACUGAUAUUUCUGGCACCCUAUUGUGAAAAUGUGGCAGAGGUAUAGAGAUUUUCUAGGUCAGUGGCCUACAUGUAUGACACUGGAACUAAUUGGGAGCUCUGCAGAUAUCGAACUACUGGGAAGAGAAACGAAAGAAAAAUGAAAGAAAAGUAUACAUGUACACGAUGAACACACAUGUACAAGAAACCAACGACCAGGCCGAAUAUUCGAUCGAACUGGAGGAAAAUUGGCUGUCUCCGUUGACAGAAAAUUGCAAACGAACUUCCGACUUGUGGCGAAAAAGAACCGGCAAUGUUAAACUUCGCUUUCAGUGGAAAGUUAUCGUGCAAAAACAUCGAACGUUCCUCCGUGAGCUAAAAAUAUCGAUGAAAGCAGACGUUUACGCGUUCGAUCGGUUGCCUGUUUGUAAAAUUCAUGGCAUAAACUCGUUUUAAACACGGCCGAGUUUGAUCGAGCUUCCAAACGACUAUCGUUCUAUUCCUCGUUUCGUUGUAACCCGUCAAUUGGGUCGUCCCUUAACCAGAAACUUCUCCGAUCAGGCAAUUAAAAGUUAGUAAAGACAAAUCAAUUUCAGUUAUGUUAUGCAGAAAACAUUUGUUAUGUCACUUUUCUUCCAGAGUACAUAACACCGCUUUUAUCCGGCCCCUUUGUUCACGUUUAAUUGACACUUGUUAAUUAGCAAUUACGUAGGUACGUUACGUUUCUUUUCAUUCUUUUUUUUUUUGUUACAACCACAUCGAGGCACGAUUCUGUAAUUAAACAUCGGUGAAGCGAUUAUUCGUUGCAUUAUGAUCAUUGAGCCAAGGACAGAGUAAUUAAUGACUUGCAGCUGGUUCUCUUUAUUUUCGAACGAGUCUGUAUACGUCGAUGCUUUUUGAGUGAAUUUACCAUUAAAUUUACUAUGCAAUAAAGCGAUUGAAAUAACUGGUUAUUUCAAAUUCUUAUCUUUUAUCUUUGUUCUAAUUAAAAUCUCUUAAAAUUAAAACGUUCGAAUUUCUUUCACCAUCUAGGAGGGAAAAUAGAAGCGAUGGUAAUCUAUGAAGGAAACCUCGUAGACGUAUCGAACGAUCAUAGGGAAAACUCAGGUGGACGGUAAUGAACGGGUGCAACGUAUAUAGUUGCGUAUUGCUUGUUGUGGUACUUGUUCGAACAACUGGAGAUUGGAUCGACACGCUUCGCGCAGCGUGAAAUGCAAACGCGGGGAUAUAAAACAGCGGCGCGAUACAGUAUGCCACCGCGGCAGAAAAAACCGAAAGGAGAAAAGGGAAAUGCGAUCUCGACAUUGCGAAGUCGGUCGUAAAAAUGAGUGACGCGUCGGAAACUUGUACGCCGGAGUGCGGAUUCUCCGCGCGAGCUCUUGGCUUACGAGCUAUGAAGCAUACAUUAGAAAUCUCUUUACAAAAGUCUACUGUAUAGUAGAACAAUAAACAUUUCUAUACAAUGUUAGUUCAAAUUCUCUGAAAUAUCACUGUUUAUUAAAUGAAAACUUCUGCACACCGUUGUACAUUGUUAACUUCAGUACUCAUAUAGCUGAUGAUAUUUGGUACAAAUUGCACGCUCUCCAUAGCUUCUAUUUUCUACUCUAAAAAUAUUUUAUAAUAUAUUUACUUAAUUCAUAAUAUAUCUAUUUCAUUUUCUAUUAAAAAGUAAAAUUUGUCUAACUUUUCCAAUACAUGUAAUGCGUAAGUAAAUUGAAAUACAGAUAUUUCAUGUUACAAAUAAAUACAUUCUAGUAUCGGGGAAAAACCCUGGGUAAUUAAGAAGAUCUACUUGACCAUGGGACAUGUGCUUGCUAGGUAUACCGGAGCCAGGGCGUAAAAGGUAACCGUGAAUGAGUUGGGGAGCUUUUAGUGUUGCCAGCGUGGUCGGAGGGUGUUGUCCUCGUUGGGAGUGGUGUUGUCAGCGUUGUCAAGGAGUGUGGUCGACGUGAAAGAGAGUCGUUGUGACGAGAGGAGAUAGUGACGAAUGAUGGCUGCAUGCAUAUAGACU